RNAcentral lists this long non-coding RNA (1628 nucleotides) under Sus scrofa (pig). RNAcentral describes it as "lncRNA (ENSSSCG00005015113.1)". Lineage: Eukaryota; Metazoa; Chordata; Mammalia; Artiodactyla; Suidae. The record is from RNAcentral.
AAGGGAGGGCUCAGGGUAGCCGCCUCCUUCCUCCCCCCACCAAAGAAUCCAAAUCUCCCUUGGGGUGGGCCACACCCUGCCGCCACCUUGGCCUUUCCUGCAGGUGGGGCAGGGAGUCUCAUUCCAGCUUCAGGAGGAGAAAGCUGAGGCUCAGAGAGGGCAAGGGGCUUGGCCAGGACCACACAGGCUCAGGGGCAGGACUUGGACCCAGGCCUCCGGAGGCUGAAGACAGAGAGGCAGCAGGAGUGGGUCCAGCCAGGUCUGGGGCUGGGCAGUGAUGCCGGGUCAAUCCUACCCGGCUCAGGGGGUGGUAAGGGCCAGCCAUCUGGCCCACGAAGCUGGGGAGGGUGGACAAAGGACAGGGCUGGGGGAGCAGCAGAGGGGCCCCUGCAAGUCCCUGAGUCCGUGUCCUGCCAGGCUGUGAAUCCAGGGGAACUGGCUUUGACCAAGGGAGCAACGUGGUGAAUGCAGGGGCCCCAGGAGCUCAGAGCAGGUGUCUAAACAUUGCAGUCUUGUGAAAACGUAUCUAGGUUUAGAUUAGCUUUAUUUACCCUGCUUGAUACGUGUUGUGAUUUCUAUGCGUGUAGAUUCAUAACUUGUACCAUUUCUGGAAAAUUCUCAGCCGUCAUCUCUUCAUUGGCCACUUCUCCUCCAACCCCGCCCUCGGGGACUCAGGUCAGACCUGCUCUUUUCCGUGUUUUCCGUGCCCCUGUGCCGCGUUCUGAGCGAUUUCUUCAUAUUUCUCUCCCAGCUCUGCCCUCCAGCUAAUUCUCUUUUUUGUCUAAUCCGCUGUUUAAGGCCCUCUGCAGUGAGAAUUUAAUUUUUAAAAAUUGUAUAUUUAAAGGCUACGUGUUCUAAUUAAUUUGAUUUUAAUCAACCUGACCAAUUUGCCUGCUCUCUUGUUCCCUGCUCACUGGUUUUAUCCCGUAUUUUAUAUUUCUAAAAGUUUGAAACUUGGUGGUUUUAUAUUCUAAGAACUGAUAGCAACUACCUGCAGUCCUCCGUGUGGGGCGGGGUUAGGCUUACCUUUCUUGUGCAUUAUUUCAGUUCUCACUCGGUGUGUGCCUGUGUUUUGUAAAUUGAUAUAUUAUUGAAUUGAAGCUGGAAACCCAGAAAGUUCUAAAUAGAGGAUGCUUUGCUUCACUCCAAAGGGAAUUUGCACUUGCUUCAGCCAGGAGUCAGGUGCCUGGAUUAAUCUCGGAGAGACAGCAGUGAGUGACGGCAUGGAACGAGGUCUUAAUUCUCUGCCCAGGAAUUGAACCUGGGCAGCCUGGAUGAGAACCAGGCAUCCUAGCUGCUGGGCGGGCUAGAGACUAGAAUUGCCCCGAUUCUUGCCCCCUGUUGAAAGCAAGAAUGAUUCAAGGGGAGUUCCCGUCAUGGCUCAGUGGUAAGGAACCCAACUAGUAUCCAUGAGGACGAGGGUUCCAUCCCUGGCCCCGCUCAGUGGGUUAGGAUCUGGUGUUGCUGUGAGCUGUGGUAUAGAUGGCAGAUGCGGCUCGGAUGCCAUGUUGCUGUGGCUGUGGUGUAGGCCGGCAGCUGUAGCUCCGAUUUGCCCCCUAGCCCGGGAACCUCCAGAUGCUGCCGGUGUAGCCCAAAAAAGACAAAAGACCAAAAAAAAAAAAAAAAAA